AUGAUCCUGGUGGCCUGGCAGGUGAAGAAGACUGGAUGUCUUAACAGGGCCCUCCGAGCAGCUGCAGGUGUGCGUCACCCAGAGUCAGCAACUGCCACCAAUAGGAGAGCUGCUAGUUCUGAGGAAGAGAAAUUCCAACAGAAGUUUCAAGAUCAUAUCUCUUGGUCUACCUUGGAUCAGUCCUCAUCCUUGAACCAAUCUCAUUGGUCAGAGGCAUGGAAGACUAAACUAGAGACAAUUCCUCUCCUUUCCCAGCUCCUGACCUCUACUACCCAGGGCAGACUCAGCCUGUGGCCAGUCAUGGCCCCUGCAGAUAACUGUACAAGAACAAAAGCCUUUGCUAGCCCAAAGCUUGACUUAGGGAGCCAGUGACAAUUUAGAGGAACUGUAAAACCAUGGUUUCUGGGCCCUCAUCAGCAAGCAAAACCACCUUAAAUUAAUCAGGUGUAGACUGUACUAUCCUGAUCAAACUACCAGGCAUCUAGGAGGUGAUCACAAAUAUCAUAGUUAUUAAAGGGACAUGCUUAUGAUUCCACUGCUUACAUUUCCACCUUGCCCCAUGCCUAGAAGAGAGCAGUAUUGGAAUACACUUUUCCAGUCUCUCCCCCGACUGCCCCCAUCGUGUGCUGCUUCAGCCAGAGGAAGAGUGACUUAUCUGCUUGGUGAGAUCAGGGAGAGCCAGGCAAAUCCAGUAGGCCACAUUGGCCAAGAGCAGAAUCCUUGAGUGGGACAUGGACAUAUCUUGCUGGUUCUCUUAGACCUGCCUGGCUUCAUCUCCAACCACGAGGGAGGUCUGCUUCUCUUUAGCAGGAAUGUAGUUGGAUGUGUAUGUUCAGACUGAAGAGCCACACGAAAGAUCUUGCUACCCAGUUUUCCAGAGAGUCCUAUGCUUUGGAUACUAUAAUUGACUCUUUGAUCUCAUUUAGCUCCUUAGUUGGCUAAAACCAAGAGGGGAGAAAGCAUGAGUAAUUACCACUUCCACCCCUUCUAGCACAACAGUAGCAGCAGACGACAACGAUGAUGAUGAUGAUGAUGAUGAAGGUGGUGGUGAUGGUUACAGCGAGGUCUCUCCCAAACCCAGAAGCUGUAGGGAGUCAGGCCAGCAGUGACCAUGCUCUCUCACUUUCCCUCCCUAAGAGAACCAUCAGCCCUGAGUGUCCCCCUAUUGGGGGCUGACCCUUGUCUUCUGCAGAGAACACAAAAAUAAUUGCAAAGUGCUGUCUCCAUCCUGCAGAAGCACAGCAGUCGCUUGAGUUUGGACAUUAAAUCAUACCAGAAGACUGUAUAUCUGCCCUGGGAAGAAAGGAAGCAAUUGAAACCCAGUAUUUAAAGGCAGUCUCAGAUUUAUCCUCCCUCUUGACAGCCUACAAAACGUUGGAGAAUAGUCCCUGCCUUUCUCUGAAAGAUAAAACAGGAUCCACUGUCCAGAAAUUGGCCCUGAGAAAGUUCAUCGCUCAUUCUCAUGUGACCUUCCUAAGAAACAAAAAACUGCAGGCCAAAACUCUGAGUUUUAACAGCCUUCUACUUUCACUCAUUUUCCAAGCAAGUGCUGUGUUGCCUUCUCAGCAUCCCACGAUGUUCCACUUUUUGUGCAUUUCCUUUCUUGUUUUUUUCACCAACAAGGCAGCAGCACUGAUUUUUGUGCAUUUUCAUGGAGAUACAUCUCACCUACUGGCUUUGUUCAACCCACGCCCCACGCUUAACCAGCAGACCUCCAUGACCCCGGAAGAGAUUUUGAAGGCCAAAUAUUUUGGCUUGUUUCCAUUCAGAAAGCUUCCCUAUUGUUUGGACAUUAAUAAACUAAAAUCCAAAGUCCUCAACCAAUUACCUCACCUCCUAAUCUAACUUUGGGAGUUUGCUGGCUCCAUGUCAAGCCGAUUACUGACGAAAGGCAAUCAGUCAUCAUGCCUUGUCUGUGGGCAGGUGAGCCCAACCGCCCUGCAGGGCCAGAAGCAAGUCAACAUAGGAUUGCGUCAUCUGCAGCUCUCAGUCUGAAGAACUGUGGGUAACACAGUGUGCUGAUAACCCCACUCCCUGUCUUGCAGUAGGAGCUCACACUGUUGACAAUUAACCCGAUCCAAGAGACCCACAUAAAUCAAUCACUACAGGGAAAAAAAAAAUUGUUCUUGAUCUACAGUGACAUAUGUAUAGACAAGGUCAGUGGCCCGGGUUUACAACCUUGCUGUCUGAAGUGAGAAUCAGGGGAGGAAGCUGCCGAUAGAAGAUAGGGGCAUUUCCAAGAAUUUCCAGAGACCCAUGCUGAGCAACCUGCUUUGCAUUGGACAUUCCCGCCCUCAGGUCUGUUUCCUUCCCUUGACAUUUGAUGCCCUCUGCACUGGUAUGUUUUGUGUUGCUAUAAAGGAGUACCUGGGACUGGGUAAUUUAAAAGGAAAAGAGGUUUAUUUGACUCAUGGUUCUGCAGGCUGUUCCAGAAGCAUGGCACCGGCAUCUGCUGGGCUCUCAGGAAGCUUUUCUGGAAGGGGGAAGGCAGGGGGAGCAGGCGUGGCUCUUGGUGAGAGAGGGAGCAGGAGAGACAGCAGGAGGUGCCAGGUUCUUUUAAACUAAAAUCAUACAGUGAGAACUCAUCACCACAGAGAGGGCACCAAGCCAUUCACGAGGGAUCCACCCCCGUGGCCCAUUUGCCUCCCAGCAAGCUGCACUCCAACACUGGGGAUCACAAUUCGACAGGAGAUUUGGAGGAGACAAUCAUCCAAACCGCAUCACCCUCUUUUGGGUUUCUGACUCAGUGUUGUCCCCAGUCCCACAGACUUGCAAUUCCCAAA
Molecule: long non-coding RNA, 2783 nt
Filed under: Macaca fascicularis (crab-eating macaque)
Lineage: Eukaryota; Metazoa; Chordata; Mammalia; Primates; Cercopithecidae
Description: lncRNA (ENSMFAG00000058346.1)
Source: RNAcentral